Long non-coding RNA from Equus caballus (horse), 361 nucleotides. RefSeq lists it as uncharacterized. The record is from RefSeq and is a predicted model, not a curated record. NCBI's taxonomy places the organism in Eukaryota, Metazoa, Chordata, Mammalia, Perissodactyla, Equidae.
GCCUACUUAAGCAAGCUUCUCCCAGGGGGUGGUAGCGGGUGCACAUUGCUGUCCAGCUGGCUGCCGCUGGACCUUCCCUGUCAACGAUUAAGUUGGAGUCCUCUAGUCAACAGAGUUUAGAAAAAGUUUUGGUAGUGGAAGGACAAGUGUAUCCACAUGAGGAGCGGGGAGCUUUGUGGAAAAGGGAAGAAGAGAUGCAACUGUGGAGCAGAUGACAUUGGAGAAUAGACAAGCCCAAGAGGACUCACACCAAGAGAAAUUUUGAUAGCCAAAGGGCAACGUGAAGGCAUUGAAGUAACACGGAGAUUAAGAGAUGGUACUAGUAGCAUGCAGACGAAACAAAAAAUAAAAUUUGCUUUAA